GUGUCAGCCGCCGCGGUAAUACGUAGGGGGCAAGCGUUGUCCGGAAUUAUUGGGCGUAAAGCGCGCGCAGGCGGUCAUUUAAGUUUGGUGUUUAAGCCCGGGGCUCAACCCCGGAUCGCACUGAAAACUGGGUGACUUGAGUGCGGGAGAGGAAAGUGGAAUUCCACGUGUAGCGGUGAAAUGCGUAGAGAUGUGGAGGAACACCAGUGGCGAAGGCGACUUUCUGGACCGUAACUGACGCUGAGGCGCGAAAGCGUGGGGAGCAAACAGGAUUAGAUACCCCUGUAGUCC
This 291-nucleotide ribosomal RNA is filed under the name uncultured bacterium. Its description in RNAcentral is "partial 16S ribosomal RNA". It matches the Rfam family "Bacterial small subunit ribosomal RNA", at positions 505 to 796 of the family's 1533-position model. The record is from RNAcentral.